Molecule: ribosomal RNA, 468 nt
Filed under: uncultured bacterium
Lineage: Bacteria
Description: partial 16S ribosomal RNA
Rfam family: Bacterial small subunit ribosomal RNA
Source: RNAcentral
GACGAACGCUGGCGGCGUGCUUAACACAUGCAAGUCGAACGGACAGGCGCUGCUCUUGUUGGGUGCUCGAGUGGCGAACGGGGGAGUAACACGCGUGUAUCCUGCCCUUGACAUUGGGAUAACUUUAGGAAACAGCGGCGAAUACCCGAGAUAAUCUCCUGCUGCAUGGGGGGGGAUGGAAAGUUUCGGCGGUUGGGGCUCGACUCGCUGCUUAUCAGCUUGUUGGUGGGGUAGUUGCUUACCAAGGCUUUGACGGGUAGCCGGCCUGAGAGCGUGACCAGCCACCUUGGGCCUGCGAUACGGCCCAGACUCCUACGGGAGGCAGCAGUCGGGAAUAUUGCGCAACGGGCGGAAGCCUGAUGCGGCAACGCCGCGUGCGGGAUGCCGGCCUUCUGGUUGUAAACCGCUUUCGCCUGUGACGAAGCGUGCGUGACGGUAAUGAGUAAAGAAGCACCGGCUAACUACGUG